CCAAGAUCUUCAGAGUGAACAAUCAUGGAGAUGGAUGAAAUGAACAAUAACCCAGUGAGCUCCAUGAGUCGUCUGGAGAGGAGCAGUCACACCCCCUUCGUAGAUGACGAUGCACUUUGAGGAGGCUACCAGUCAGAAGAUGAAGAAGAUGUGGUGUUGCCCAGGGAGGAGAUAUGGCUGUUUGAUUUGUACAGUGGCACAUGGCAGCAGAGGGAGCUGACAGGGGACUUUCCAUCUGAUCUGACUGGAUGUUUACUAUGGAGCUAAAAAACAACAUGUGUGGAAAAGGCUCACAAACACUUUUGGAAACACCCCUCUCCUCGAAAGAAUCACUCAAGCUGGGUGUAUCAGGAUAG
Molecule: long non-coding RNA, 356 nt
Organism: Boleophthalmus pectinirostris (great blue-spotted mudskipper)
Lineage: Eukaryota; Metazoa; Chordata; Actinopteri; Gobiiformes; Gobiidae
Exons: 4
Source: RefSeq, a predicted model, not a curated record